UUAAUGGAGAGUUUGAUCCUGGCUCAGGACGAACGCUGGCGGCAUGCCUAACACAUGCAAGUCGAACGGACUUUUAGUAUUUAGUUUACUAAAUACUAAAAGUUAGUGGCGGACGGGUGAGUAACGCGUGGGUAACCUGCCCAUAAGUUGGGGAUAACUCCGGGAAACCGGUGCUAAUACCGAAUAAGCUUAAUUUACCGCAUGGUAGAUUAAGUAAAGAUGGCCUCUUUACAAUGCUAUCGCUUAUGGAUGGACCCGCGUCUGAUUAGCUAGUUGGUGAGGUAAUGGCUCACCAAGGC
RNAcentral lists this non-coding RNA (299 nucleotides) under Desulfonispora thiosulfatigenes DSM 11270. RNAcentral's name for it is "Bacterial small subunit ribosomal RNA". It matches the Rfam family "Bacterial small subunit ribosomal RNA", at positions 1 to 274 of the family's 1533-position model. Lineage: Bacteria; Bacillati; Bacillota; Clostridia; Eubacteriales; Peptococcaceae. The record is from Rfam by way of RNAcentral.